GAAAUGCGAUAAGUAGUGUGAAUUGCAGAAUUCAGUGAAUCAUCGAAUCUUUGAACGCACAUUGCGCCCCUUGGUAUUCCAUGGGGCAUGCCUGUUCGAGCGUCAUUUGUACCCUCAAGCUCUGCUUGGUGUUGGGUGUUUGUCCCGUCUCCGCGCGUGGACUCGCCCCAAAGUGAUUGGCAGCCGGCGUACUGGUCCCGGAGCGCAGCACAUGUCGCGCAAACGAGUGCCUUGGUACGGCGGCGUCCAUAAGCACCUCUCUCACGCUCUUGACCUCGGAUCAGGUAGGGAUACCCGCUGAACUUAAGC
This 309-nucleotide unclassified non-coding RNA is filed under the name plant metagenome. Its description in RNAcentral is "partial contains 5.8S ribosomal RNA, internal transcribed spacer 2, and large subunit ribosomal RNA". The stretch from base 1 to 105 matches the Rfam family "5.8S ribosomal RNA", at positions 50 to 154 of the family's 154-position model. The record is from RNAcentral.